This 103-nucleotide small nuclear RNA is filed under the name Catagonus wagneri (Chacoan peccary). Lineage: Eukaryota; Metazoa; Chordata; Mammalia; Artiodactyla; Tayassuidae. The record is from RNAcentral.
GUGCUUGCUUCUGCAGCACAUAUUCUAAAACUGGAAUGAUCCAGAGAGGCUGAGCAUGGCCCUUUGCAAGGAUGAUGCACAAAUUCAUGUGUUCCAUAUUUUU